This 1361-nucleotide ribosomal RNA is filed under the name Triticum aestivum (bread wheat). RNAcentral describes it as "partial small subunit ribosomal RNA". The record is from RNAcentral. Lineage: Eukaryota; Viridiplantae; Streptophyta; Magnoliopsida; Poales; Poaceae.
AUCAUGUAUGCACCGGACGAGAGAGUAGAGCACCCCGGCAACUUCGUCACCGACUCAUCAUGGUAUCAGGUUACAUGGUGAAGGGCUUUCAAAGUCCUAUCAGAACACUUUCUAAAAAAAGAAGUCCUAUUGUGACAACUGGAAGCUGCAAAACGGCCCCGAAAGGUCUCAGCACGUGCAUUGUUGUGGCCAUUCCACGGCGUUUGUUUCCCCCGGGGCACAUGGUCCGUCUCCCGUUUGCUGUUCCACACUCCAUCACUAAAAGAAAAUAAAACUCCAUCAAUGGCCAGUAGAAACGCCCAACGCAACCGAGCAACGCCACUCAUCAUGGGCAACAAACCCCAUCAUCACGGUCACCCUUGACACUUCCGCCCGCCGUCUCCCCGCGUCCUCGUCCCACUCGAGAAGGCACAAUGGAGAAGGAGAAACAAGGCGGCUGCUACAAAUCAACCGACUGAUUUCCACGGGAAAUCAGUCGGGUCUGUACCCGUCCGAUCAACCCUCGUGUAGCCGUUCGAUCAUGCACAUGAAGCCCCCAUCGCAUCCUUGUCCCUCCGUCGCAGCGGCCCAUGUAUCGCAACAACACCUGCGUUACGCUUCUUCGCAACACCGGCAGCCGCCGGGGCGUGCUGAGCCGCCGCACCGUGGCGCCUCGCCCAUCUGACCAGCAUCUUCGGCGAGUGUUGCAUCCCAAAAUCAGCCGCAGCACUGUCGACCGCCGACGGGCCACAUAGCAGUAGCGUCACAAUUGUUGCAUGGCAGCGCCGGCAAAGAUGUGUCGUAGCACCGGCCGCCGCCGACAAAUCCCCGCAUCAGAGCGCCGGCAGCACCGUCCAACGUUGCAUCGCAGCAACGGCAACCGCCGAUGAGCCGCCAUAGCAGUCCAGCGUCGCGAGACGCGAGGUGCUGCAUAGCAGCGCCGGCGAGGCUGCGUUGCAGCACCGGCAACCGACGACGGCCGCCAUGUCACAGCGCCGACAACAGCGUCGAACGUGCUGCGUUCACGAGUGCUGCAUAGCAGUCGUCGGCGACAUCGACGAGUGCCGCAUCGCAACACCGGCGCCGAGGAGCUUUGCGUCGCAGCACUUGUGGCACCGUUGGGCGUCGAGUCGCAGCACCGGCAGCUCCGAAUCAAACGACGAGGGCUGCGUCGCAGCCACCGGCAGUCGUCGACGAUCGCCGCGACGCAGCGCGGCAGCACCGGCGUGUGCUCUCAAGCAGCAGCGGGGUGGUGCUUGGGCAGCCAUGGCGAAUGCAGCAGGCCAUGGUGCGAGAUUUGUGGGGGACGGAAGGGGAUUGAACUUGGUGGAACACUCGAGCGGUUUUCGUUAGCUCUGGAGGACGAGGAGAUAAGGCUGGCA